This 235-nucleotide ribosomal RNA is filed under the name uncultured Actinomycetales bacterium. RNAcentral's name for it is "partial 16S ribosomal RNA". It matches the Rfam family "Bacterial small subunit ribosomal RNA", at positions 96 to 334 of the family's 1533-position model. Lineage: Bacteria; Bacillati; Actinomycetota; Actinomycetes; Actinomycetales. The record is from RNAcentral.
UGGCGAACGGGUGAGUAACACGUGGGUGAUCUGCCUUGCACUUCGGGAUAAGCCUGGGAAACUGGGUCUAAUACCAGAUAGGACCACGUCUUGGAUGGUGUGGUGGAAAGUUUUUUCGGUGUGGGAUGAGCUCGCGGCCUAUCAGCUUGUUGGUGGGGUAAUGGCCUACCAAGGCGUCGACGGGUAGCCGGCCUGAGAGGGUGUACGGCCACAUUGUGACUGAGAUACGGCCCAG